CAGAACCCAUCUUCCCACGCAUCCGUGAUCAUCUCCCAGCAUCCCACGCUCAUUUCCGCAUCUUUCUCAUCUUCCGCUCAUCUCACGCGUUCCCUCCGCGGUCUUUCCUCCCUUCUGAAUCCAAGGAACAGAGUCUCCCCAUGUAUCAAGUCCCUUUUAUUCCGCGAUUCAUCCUCAUCCUCUCGCUCCCGCGUCUUCCAAGUUCCCUAGCCGUGAGCAUGUCUGUUUCUUCUUCAACUUCCCUUCACGAAAACAAAGCAGAGCAGUUUCCUUUCCUCCCGUAUCCACAGAUCUCGUCUUCUGCAACAAUGCGAUCGAGUUUAUCUUCCCAAAUUUCACGGAAGCAUCCCUUCCACGCGGACUCAGCUCUUCGUCCAGCAGCCACACGCGAUUCGCUUCGAACUGCGAGGGAUUCUGCGCGUCCCAGCAAUCUCCUCCUCCCAGCCGGAUGAAAGCUUAUCCCGUGAUCCUCUUCUUCCGAAUUUGUUUCAUUCCGCGACCCAUCCCGCUGCCAGCCAAGAUAGCAUCCCGAACAAAUCUCAGCCAAGUCCCAGCAUUCGGAUUGACCCCAGCCACGGAAACAGAAUCCUCUCCCCAGAGUUCAUCCUUAGAAUUCAUCCUCUCACGUCCUAGCUUCAUCCCUUCCGCAUUCCGGAGUCCCUUCUCCCACGGAUCAUUCUCUUCUAGUUCCCGAGCUUCACAGCAUCCAAACAGAGCCAAAUCCUCUGCAGGAUCCACGGGAUAAACUCAAAUCCCAUCCUCUUCCGGCUUGAUCCCAUGGAAUCUCCCAACGUUCAAGCUGCUCCCCUGCUUUAGGAUCAGUUCAAAUACACCAAACUUCAUCCUUCCACGUCCAAGAUCUUCUCCCACGUUUUGAAGAAGCGGCGAUUUCUUCCACUCAUCCCAUGAGGUAGCAGCCGUCCGAGAUCCUCUCAACAUCCACGUN
Molecule: long non-coding RNA, 946 nt
Filed under: Phoenix dactylifera (date palm)
Lineage: Eukaryota; Viridiplantae; Streptophyta; Magnoliopsida; Arecales; Arecaceae
Description: long non-coding RNA (PDAC_LNC007172)
Source: RNAcentral